RNAcentral lists this ribosomal RNA (3429 nucleotides) under Ambystoma mexicanum (axolotl). RNAcentral describes it as "eukaryotic LSU rRNA". The stretch from base 1423 to 3429 matches the Rfam family "Eukaryotic large subunit ribosomal RNA". The record is from RNAcentral. Lineage: Eukaryota; Metazoa; Chordata; Amphibia; Caudata; Ambystomatidae.
AAACAAAAGCAAAAGCAUUUGCCCAGAAUGUUUUCAUUAAUCAAGAUUCGCAUGAGAUGCUGAGCAGCUUCCGGGAAACCAAAGUCUUUGGGUUCCCUGGGGGAGUAUGCUUGCAAGCUGAAACUUUAAAAAAUGUAUGGAAUGGCACCACCAGGAGUGUAGCCCGUGGCUUAAUUUGACUCAACAUGGGAAACCUCACCCAACCCAUACACGGAAAGGAUUGACGGAUGGAUAUCUCUUACUCAGUUCUGUGGGUGGUGGUGCAUGGUCGGUCUGAGUUGGUGGAGCGAUUUGUCUGGUUAACUCUGAUAAGAAAUUAGGCUCCUCCAUGCAUACGGUUUAGGUGACUCCCAGCAGACAGUUUUAAAAUUCUUAGCGGGAGGUGUUUACCAACAUGAGACCAAGCAAUGAAAGGUCUGUGAUGCCCUUAGAUGUCUGGGGCUGCACUCAUGCUACACAGAAUGGAUCAGCAUGUGUCAACCCACAGUUAACCUGCUGAAUUCCCAAUAAGUAUGAGUCAUAAUCCUAUGGUGAUUAGUCCUGCUCUUUGUACACACCGCCUGUCGCUACUUGGAUUGGUUAGUGAGGUCCUCAGAUUGGCCCGCUGGGGUAGCAACAGCCCUGGCAGAGCACCAAGCAGAUGAUCAAACUUGACUAUCUUGAUUAUAAGUCGAAACACGGUUUCCGUAGGUGAAUCUUCAGAAUGAUCAUGAAUGGUGGAGCAGCCAGAGGUAGAACAGCGAACCCGACCUCAGUUGCAUCUCAGACCCCUCGCAUUAUGGUCUUACCAGUGGAGCUGGCCGCAGCCGGUGUACGUGGGGGACAAGGCACCAGGGAGCAAGAUCCCUCCUACCAGAGGGGUAUGUGACCCAGCAGACAAACAGCAGACACAGGCAGACGUGGACUGACGUCUGGGUAAUAAGGGAGUCUGUGACUCUUGACAGUAGGAUCACUUAGCUUGCAUGCCUAUGAAUUAGUGUGAAUUGCAGGACACUUGAUCACUGACACUUCAAACGCACCUCCCGGGGCUAUGCCUGUCUGAGGGUUGCUUGAACAUCAAUUGCCCUAGGGACUCUCCCAGUGCGCAGCUGCGGCCAUCACAGUGACCCCAUUCUCGUAGUCCCCUAAGGUCAGACACUGACCAGCACUGUCGCAGGAUCCCUGGACCUGGUGCAGAGACUUGCUGCUAGCGCGUCCUGGCCUCCCCGUUUCCCCAUCUUGUGGGGUUUGUAUGGGUCAGGGCACGGCAUGGCCCGGUGGCUGUGGUGGUGGCAGUGGUCUAAGAACCCAACGCACCUUCCUCUACCCGGGGCAGCUGUCUGUGCUGUGUGUGGCUCUCUGUGGUGUCCCAUGGCUGCCUUCUUGGGACACCCUGGAGUGCAGACCUUGGGACCGUGUCCAGCAGGCAACCUCUUACCAAGCAGGCUUCUGCACAGACAGGGACAGCGCACACUCGGCUGCCACCAAAUGGAGCUACUGAGAUCUUGGUGGCAGUAGUAAAUAUUCAAACAAGAGCUUUCAAGGCCAAAGCAGGUAAGGUUUCCAUGUGAACAGCAGUUGAACAUGGGUCAAAUGGUCCAAAGAGAUGGGCAAGAACUGUUCAUAAGGGACAGGCAAUAGCCUCCAUUGCCCUCAGCCAAUCAAAUGGGAGUUGGAUAUGGAUCCCCAAACAGAGCGUGGUGUGGAUGGGCGCCCUCGCAGUAUCCGGUGCAGUAACGCAAAUGAUCCUGGAGAAACCUGUGAGAGCCCCAGGGAGGGUUCUCAUUUCUUUGUGAAGGGCAGGGCAGCCGGGCAUGAGUUUGUCCCAAGAGAGCACUCGCUGGUCCUUAAAAACAUACUCAUAUCCACAGCAGGUCUCCAGGUUGCACAGCCUCUAGCAUGUUGGAACAAUGUAGGUAAGUGAAGACGAAUAGUCAGAUUGGUAACUUCAGCAUGAGGAUUGGAUCCAAAGGCUGGGUCAGUGGGGCUGUGGCGCGCAGCAGGGCUGGGGUGUGGCACUGCUGGAUUAGGUGUCUCCCUCCUGGGGCUGUGCUGACUUUGGACGUGAGCCGGGCCCUUCCUGUGGAUGGCCCCAGCUUUGGUGGUGGCCUCUCUCCGUCCCCUCCCGGGGUAUGAGUCGGUGUUCUUCCUCGGCCGAGGCCUAGCGGGCUGACUUAGAACUGGUGCAGACCAGGGAAAUCUGACUGUUUAAUUUCAACAAAGCAUUGUGAAGGACCAUGGCAGGUGUUAACCAAUGUGAUUUAUGUCCAUUGCUCUGAACAUCAAAGUGAAAUAAUUCAAUGCAGCGCUGGUAAACGGCAACUGUUCUUAUGAGUCUCUUAAAGUAGCCAAAUGCCUCGUCAUCUAAUUAGUGACAUGCAUGAAUGGAUGAUCAAGAUUCCCACUGUCCCUACCUACUAUCUAGCUAAAACACAGCCAAGAGUACAGGCUUGGCAGAAUCAGCAAGGAAAGGAGACCCUGUCGAACUUGACUCUAGUGUGGCACUGUGAAGUGAAGUGAGAGGUGUAGGAUAAGUAGGAGGCCUUCAGGCCACAGGUGAAAUACCACUACUCAUAUUGUUUAUUUCACUUACGCCUCAUGGAGCUCUCACUUCUGGCUGCAAACGACAGGCACCUGCCGGGCACAAUCUGCUCUGGGGACAGUGGCAGGUGGGGUGUGUUACUGGGGCGGUACACCUGUCAAACGAUAAUGCAGGUGUACUAAGGAAAGCUCAGGGAGAACAGAAACCUCUGGCGAAGCUGAAGGGCAAAAGCUCCCUUGAUUUCGAUUUUCUAUAUGAAUACAACCAUGAAAGCAGGGCCUCACAAUUCUUCAGACAUUUUGGGUUCAAGCAGGACGUGUCCGAAUAGUUGCCACAAGCCAGUCAUCCCUGUGGCAACUAUUCAGACACGUCUUGACUGGCUUGUGGACGCAAAGCAUUCAUAGUGAAGUUGCUCUUUUGAUCCUUCGAUGUCGGGCAUCAUUGUGAAGCAGAAUUCACCAAGCUUUGGUUCGUUCACCCACUUAUGAGGAAUGUGAGAUAGGUUUACACGUCAUGAGACAGGUUGGUUUUACCUUACUGAUGAUUUGUAGUUGCAAUGCUAAUCCUGCUCAGUAUGAGAGGAACCGCAGGUUCAGACUUUGGUGUAUAUGCUUGGCUGAGGAGCCAAUGGGGUGAAGCUACCAUCUGUGGAAGUGUGACUGAAGGCCUCUAAUUCAGUAUCCCCUCUAAACCGUAAUGAUACUGCAGCUCUGUGGAGUUUCAGUUGCAUAGGAUGGCCGGCCUGUGGGCCAGUGUGUAGAACCGCUUGCUUUGGGACUCGACUGUGGACAUAAGGGGGCUACCUCUCUCACCCAUAGUGCACUGCAUGUUUGUGGGGAACCUGGUGCUAAAUCAUUCAUAGACUACCUGGUUCUGGGUCAGAGUUUUGUAAAUAGCAGAGAGCUGUC